GCAAUCUUGUAUAGCACAGUCCUGCCUGUCUGCACCAUGGCCUGGGCUCCUCUCCUGCUCACACUUCUGGCUCACAUCACAGGGGCCGAAUCCUAGGCUGUGGUGACUUAGGAAUCUUCACUGUACAUCUCUCCUGGAGGGACAGUUACACUCACCUGUGCUUCCAGUACUGGGCCUGUCACAACCAGUAACUAUGCUACCUGGGU
This 206-nucleotide long non-coding RNA is filed under the name Cavia porcellus (domestic guinea pig). RNAcentral describes it as "lncRNA (ENSCPOG00000030077.1)". Lineage: Eukaryota; Metazoa; Chordata; Mammalia; Rodentia; Caviidae. The record is from RNAcentral.